GACGAACGCUGGCGGCGUGCUUAACACAUGCAAGUCGAACGGAAAGGCCCUGCUUUUGUGGGGUGCUCGAGUGGCGAACGGGUGAGUAACACGUGAGUAACCUGCCCUUGACUUUGGGAUAACUUCAGGAAACUGGGGCUAAUACCGGAUAGGAGCUCCUGCUGCAUGGUGGGGGUUGGAAAGUUUCGGCGGUUGGGGAUGGACUCGCGGCUUAUCAGCUUGUUGGUGGGGUAGUGGCUUACCAAGGCUUUGACGGGUAGCCGGCCUGAGAGGGUGACCGGCCACUUUGGGACUGAGACACGGCCCAGCCCCCUACGGGAGGCAGAGGGGGGGAAUAUUGCACAGGGGGGGGAAGCUUGAGGCAGCCCCGCCGCGGGCGGGAUGACGGCUUUCGGUUUGUAAACCGCUUCCGCCUGUGACGAAGGGGGAGUGAGGGUAGGGGAUAAAGAAGCACCGGCUAACUACGUC
This 468-nucleotide ribosomal RNA is filed under the name uncultured bacterium. RNAcentral describes it as "partial 16S ribosomal RNA". It matches the Rfam family "Bacterial small subunit ribosomal RNA", at positions 28 to 507 of the family's 1533-position model. The record is from RNAcentral.